UGUAUAUUUUAGGAUCAUUCUUGUAUAUACUCGAUUAUAUGGUUCGAGUGUUUCUACUAGGUUACCGUAAAAAAAGCCUAACUACAGGAAUAGCAUAAUAAAAG
RNAcentral lists this non-coding RNA (104 nucleotides) under Clostridium cylindrosporum. Its description in RNAcentral is "Guanine sequence". It matches the Rfam family "Purine riboswitch aptamer". Rfam says of the family: Riboswitches are metabolite binding domains within certain messenger RNAs that serve as precision sensors for their corresponding targets. Allosteric rearrangement of mRNA structure is mediated by ligand binding, and this results in modulation of gene expression. Lineage: Bacteria; Bacillati; Bacillota; Clostridia; Eubacteriales; Clostridiaceae. The record is from RNAcentral. RNAcentral also lists the same sequence under 1 other name.